CUCAAGAGUGCCACAAAGCGGGGCUGGCGCAUCCAGCCAAUGGGAGCAGAGGCGAGGAAAUUUGGGCAAGCCGAGAGACUUCCCAGCAUGCUUUGCAGUCACAGAGCUGUUACAGCAGUCGUGGGGAGCGUUGCACGUUUGCUGCUUCGAUCUCCCGCGGAGUCGGUGAAUCCGUCGCCAUCCUCUUGCAGGAUAGUUGUCACUUGAUCAGGAAAGUCGAUGCGUCGGGCGGGUGGGGAACUCGGGAAAGGUUUGGCCGGCGUCUUCUAGGAAGUCUGUGUUGGAGGCUUGUUAGCGUAACUUUAAGGCACCAUCCAAUAUCUUAUUCAAAGGAUCGUGCAGAUUCCGACUUGCCUAGCCGGAGCUGUGAGGUUGCCGGGUAAGCUCCAAAUGUGUAGGCGGUCGCUGGUUUUUCUGGCAGCUGGUUUCCUCUCCCCCCCCAAAAAAAAGUCCAUUGGAUCUGGUACGUUGGGGUAUUAACACCGCUUUAUUGUCUGGCAAUGCUCCUGUUCGUUCAGCAGCGGCGCGAGAGGCAGCAGUGCCGUGGAUGCGGCUUUUGGAGAUGGAGCGAUCGUGGAAAUUUCACGAGGAAGCUCUGCUUGCGUUGCUACUUUCUUCUUUUUUAGUGGGCGCCUCCGGGAUUGAUUUUGGGUGCCAGGCAAGUCCAACGGGGCAGACUUGCCUAGGUAGCGCGCACGGUCCUCUGCCGACGCCGGUGGCAGAGCACGUGAUUUACGAGCCAAAGGCCCCGGGUUCGAUCCCGGGCAGCUCCAGGCAGGGCUACGAAAGAUUCCUUGCUGAACCUCGAAGAGCCGCUGCAGUGUAUCAGCCUUCCCAAACCUGGUGGAACUCCCGACUCCAGCCGGCCCCAGCUAGCACAGCCAGUGGUCAGGGAAGAUGGGAGCUGUAGUCCGACAACAUCUGGAGGGCACCAGGUUGGGGAAAGCUGAUGUCGGCAAUACUGAGCUGGAUUGACCAGAUGGGCUGGCCCGAGGCAGCUUCCUAUGCGUGUAUCUGCCUGACUUUGACGUAUCUUUUUCCUUGGCGUUUUGAGAUUUUUCCUCUCCUGUUCUUGUGGGUACGUCUGAUGAAAGGAGUUUCUUGUCUUUCUCCUGAUGCUCUUGCUUUGCUGUGCAUGCGGCUGUUAUUAUAGUGGCGGAUCUGUCUCUUUUGUGUAAAGUCAGACGUGUCUGAGUAUAUAUGUGUGUGUUGUGAUAACAGCAUGGAUGUUGUGGCUGUUGAAGUCGGCCUCAGAAUUUCUUGUUGGCUCCGGAAGACAUUGGCUAAGAGAGCCAGUGGUGGUGUAGUGGUUAGCGUGUUGGGCUGGGAGCUGGAAAAACGAGGGUUCAAAUCCCUGCUCAGCGAUGAAGCUCAUUGGGUGACCUUGGCCAGUCGCUGUCUCUCAGCCUAACCGACCUCACUGGGUUGUUGUGAGGAUGAAAUUGGGAGUGGGGACAACCAUGUUUGUAUGUCACUUUGAGCUUCACCUUGGAGGAACGGUGGGAUGAUGAUGAUGAUAAUAAAUAAAUAAUGAAAUAAGAUAGGGGUUUGGGUUUUUAACCCUGAAUGUUGUGCUGUCAGUGGUGUGCGCCUUUAAACUAUGCUUCUGAAAGAACACUGUGAUGAGGAACAUGAUGUCUGUAGGAUUGCCAAUAUCCAGACCCUGAGAGGGCUCUGGUGCUUUUAACAGCUGCAUAGAAAGGGGAGAGGGGCAGUGGCUCAUGUAGGAGUGUUGAAAAAAUGGAAGAGGCUGCAUCUAGUAAAAGUUUUCCUUCUAUGUGAUUUCUAAAGGUGCAAGAGUCUGGGGCAUAUCCAAGCACUUACCUGUUUUAUUCCAGUUCACCUGUCUCAGGGUCCCCCAGAGAAUCUUAGGAAUAGUAGUUUGAGAAUGUUGGGAAUUCCUUGCUCGCUCUGCCUCCCCACCCCCUUACCCACACUUCCAUAGGGCUCUGGUAAGCCCAGGGCUCUCUGGAAAGAUGGUGUGAUGAAUUAAGCAAGUUUGUAGUGUAGAAUUGCUGGGGUUUGUGAUUUGUAGGCUACCCUACUCCAAUGCAGCAGUAUGCAGUUGAUCAUUUAGAAUGGUCUAUUGUCAUCAAAUAAUUUUUGCUAGGCAUAAUAGAAUCUAAAAGCACCUUACAGUUACAUUUAUUAUGGACUAUUACUACUACUACUACUACAUCAUUUAUUAGUUACUUUCUUCACAAAUGUGCCUCAAGGCAAAUUACAACCACAAUAAAACAAGAACACAAUUGUAACAAACCAAUAAAUAAAACUAAAAACAUAUCAGUAAAGAUAAAAGAUAGAUCUUACAAUAGCUGCCGUGCUAAAAACCUCCCACAAAUACCUGAAGCUCUUCAAAUUGAGGGGCAAAAGCCUAGGUAAAAAACCCAACGAUUUUUGCUUGAUGCCUAGUAUCAUAGAAUCGUAGAGUGGGAAGGGGCCUAUAAGGCCAUGGAGUCCAACCCCCUACUCAAUGCGGGAAUCCAAAUUAAAACCUAAACGUAGAUAACGGCACCAGGUGUGUCUCCCCGGCGAGAACAUUCCAUAAGCAGGGAGCCACCUCUGAGAAAGCCCGUUCUCCCAUUGCCACCAUCCACACCUGUCUCAGAGGGACACAUGGAGAAGGGCCUCAGAUGAAGAAUGCAGGGUUCAGGUCGGUUUAGGUGAGGAGAGGCGGUCUUUGAGGUACUGGGGUCCUGAGCCCUAUAAGGUUUUAUAGGUCAAAACCAGCCCUUUGAAUUGAGCCAAUGGAGUCAUGCUGGAAUUGGUGUUGUAUGUUCCAGCUGUCCUGCCCCAGUCAGCAGUCUGGCUAUCAAAUUCUGUGCCACCUGCAGUUUCCGAACUGUCUCAAAGGCAGCCCCAUGUAUAACAUGUUGCAGUAAUCCAACCUAGAGGUUACCAGAAUAUAGACAACAGAAAAUAUAAAAUAUUGCUACAAAACCCAUCAAAAACCGUAUAUAUUCUGUGUCAGCAGGCAUUUUCAACUUUAUUCAUUACACUUACAUCCUGCUGUCCCUCCUGUGGUAGACGGGCCAUAGCUCAGUGGUAGAGCAUCUGCCUGUUGAAGGUCCCAGGUUCAGUCCCCAGCAUCUCCAGGGAGGGCUGGGAAUGCCCCUGCCAGAAAUCCUGAAGAGCUGCUGCCAGUCAUUGUCAACAGUAUUGAGCUAGAUGGAACACUUAUCUUACUUGGUUGAAGGCAGCUUCCUGUGUUCCUAGGAACUCAGUGUGGUCUUCCGACCCCCUCCUUCUUUUUUAACCUCACAACAACUCUAAGGGGCAGGUUAAGGCUGAAAUACAGUGAAGCGCUCAAGAUCACUCAGUGAUGCAGAGUUUACCUUUAUGCAGCAGGGUAGUUUCUGUACAUACUCACACAUUGCAAAGGGCUAGCGUUGUAUCUUCGAGUGCAUGGGUCCAUAUAAUAUGACCAGGUUCUGAUCAUAUUUCUCUCUCUCACCCAUCCCCAUUCUGAUUUAAUUCAUAUCUGGGAGCAGACUUAUAGGUCAAGGUAGUCAAUGUGGUACCCUGCUAUGGACUACACUUGCCAUCAGCCCUAGCCAGCACGGCCAGUGAUAAGAGAUAACAGGAAAUGUAGUCCAUACAUAAAGGGUAUUGUUGUUGUUGUUGUUGUUGUUGUUGUUGUUAUUAUUAUUAUUUGAUUUAUAAUCCUCCCUUUCUUCCCAGCAGCAGCCCAGGGCGGCAAACAAAAGCACUAAAAACAUUAAAACAUCAUAGAAACAAACUUUAAAACACAUUAAAACAAAACAUCUUCAAAAGCGUUACUUAAAAAAGCUAUCAAAACAUCUUCUAAGAUUAAAAGCAUUUUUAAAAAGGUUUAAGAACAUACUAAAAAAGCAAUUCCAACACAGAUGCAGGGUACCACUUUACGUAAACCUGCAAUGCAGCCUGCCUUUACCACAUUUGGCACAGAUUAUUGAAUCAUAUAGGACCGGAAAGCUGAUGACCUUAGUGGGGUGGCGGAGUGGAAGAGAAGAAGAGGCUGACCUAGGAUGGCUCAUCCAGCAUGCCUCAGCCUCUCACAGCAUUCCAUUGAAAUUAGCAUUGCAGGCUAUGAAGUGUAACGCAAGAGAGUGGGGUGUGGGAUUUGUAGUUUGCUCAUAUUUGUGGCUGGGGUAGGUGACGUGUAGAAUUUGUGAUGGAUGACGGCUCGUGGCCAGAUAUUGGAGAGAAGCUGCUGUUGUUGGACUUCAACUCCUAUCAGCCCCAGGCAGCAUGGCUAAUAGUGACAGGAAUAAUGGAAGUUGUAAUCCUGCAAUGUCUGGAGAGCCACAGGUUUCCUGCCCCUCGCCUGGACAAAAGAAUAGAUUGUGGGCCAUUGUCUAGUCAAUCAGCUAGCAUCUGCUGGUUGCUGGGAUUUUUGCCCAGAAUGCUGGAUUAGGUGGACUUUAGUCUGAUCCAGCAAAAUGACAGUUUGGUCUUCGGCAAAAGUGCAUAUUUGAGAUUAUUUAACCCUGGCUAGUGGUGCCGGUUAAAGCAACACAGUUUUGUGGCACCUUAAAGAUUAAAACUUAGCAUCUGGUGGCCACUGUGAGUACAGGAUGCUGGACUAGAUAUGCCAUUGGCCUGAUCCAGCUGGCUGUUCUUAUGUUCUUACUAAUUAGGGCAUAUGCACUCAUGAACCAGAGUCCACUUCAUCAGGGGCAUGAAGUGUUCUCCUUAGUUGGCAAGCAUAUUUACACAUGGGAGUAGAAGUACUUGCCAGUUAGGAAUUGCACUCGCAUGUGAUGAAUUGGAGUCUAGUUCAUGAAUGUGUAUGCCAUAAUUAGACACUUCAUUGUUUUUGGUACAACAGACUGAAACAGCUAUUCCUCUGGAAAACUGUAACAGGGGAUCUUGAGAGUGCAGUUUUGCUUUGCAAAUUUCAACUACAGGGAUUCUAGACUUCGAGAGUAAUGUAUACAGUACUGUGCAAGAUUGAAGCCAACCCACCUCUACCUGGAAAAAAGAAAGGCGUACGAACCAAUGUUUGUGAAGCUUCCAUGCUAGGUCACUUGCAGACAGUUCUUACUUGCUACAGGUGACCAGGCAUGGGGUUAUUGAUAACUCUGCGUCCGUUGCAUUUCAGUUUAACACUCACUUUACCCUGAAUGUGGUGUAGUAGGAUGUAGGUGCCUGGCUUAAUCCCUCUUAACCCAAACUGGCCUGUGCUUUGCAUGAGCUGGCCAAGGGUUGGGGGGUCAGAGAGAUGGGAAAACCUACGGCUGGGGUUACCUUUUACAAUGGUGACUUCAGUAUACACUGACCCCAACAUGGCAGCUGCUGCGGUGUGUGAGUGAACAGCAUCCACUCUGUUCCAGUUUGCAACCUACCUCACCUUGAUGUUUCCUCUCCUCCUUGAGGCUCUUAAAUUGUGACUUGCAACCUGAAGUCUUUGGUUCUCCCAGGAUUGUUCCUAGUCCUGGUUCAGAGGCUCCUUCUGCCUUGGUCUCCCUUGCUUUAAAACCAAGUUUGCUGAUGUCGCUGUGUUGAUACAUUUGGAAACAGCCAAGCAUCACCAGCAUUUCAUGUGACAAAGCAUGCAUUUCCCUCCUUCGUAGCUCCCAAUCAUGUUUUCUUAUCAGUGCCCCGCCCCAGUCACGGUUGUCUUUCAUUUAGCACUGCCUUUCCUUUGGUGCAUCAAGCCUCAUCAUACGUUGCAGAAAGUCAUACUGAGAUUUCCAAAUGAAGCAUGCAGCUUGAAUAUCCAUGCAAAAUAAGCAAAUUGUAUAUUUGUUUUAAUGUUUUUGAUUGCUGUAAGCCACCCAGAGAGCUUCGGCUAUGGGGUAUACAAGUGCAAUAAAUAAAUAAAUGUAUGUCUCAUCUUGAUAUGUUUUUUCUGAGUGCAGCAUUUCUGGUUCUUGGAUGCAGAAUCUGGAAGGCUGAGAUGCAGUACGUCAGGGAUGGAGAACCUGUGGUCCUCCGGAUGUUUGACUACAACUCCCAUCAGUUCUAGCCAGCAUGGCCACUAGUCAAGAAUGAUGGGUGUUGUGGUCCAGCAGCACCUGGAGGGCCACAGGUUUCCCACCCCUGCUAGACAUUAUAAUUAUUUCUACAAUCAGUGUGUAUGGCAUGUUACAGAGUAACCUAAGCAAAAGAGAUGUCCCUGCCCCUAAGGAACUUACAGUCUAAUUUCCGUCUUCGAAGACUAGCAGUCCAACCCUAUGCAUUCAUACUCGGAAGUAAGUCCUGUUGAUUUCAAUAGUGCUUACUCCCGGUAAGUGUGUUUAGGAUUGCAGGCUGAACCUCAUGUCAAAGACAGAAUUUCUCGUUCUCCUGUUUUCUCUGCUUUGUUCAGAUGGGGUGCCUGAAGCCAACAUUGAGAUGUGCGCUUACGUAUGGGAUCCAGAAAAAAAAACAGACUGCGACAUCCCAAGUUGCAUUAUCUUCUGGAAAAGAAGAUGUUCACAUUUUCAAUCUCCAGAUGAGGAGAAUUCUGGAUCUGGGAACAGAUGUCUAUCCAUGCACCCUUGAGCUUUGAACUUCAUUCACAAAGCAGCAGGCUUGGAUGUUCUUCAAGGUUAAAACAGGGUCCAAGUGAUGAAGCAACACCUCAGACCAAAAGAUGGUGUCUUAUGGCUGCGACAUCAAACUUUCCUGUUAUGGCCAUGAGAGCAAGCCUCCAGGAGCAACAUACUACAAAAUCUGUUGCACCACAAACGUCUGCAAUGGGAAGGCACCCUGGCUCUCCGACUCCGAAACCCCCACCACAGCAAACACCACAGACCUCCAAGAGAGACCUUUUCCUCCUCGCCCUGCUGUGGGAGUCCCUAGAUAUUGUCCCUCUUUCCACUUUGUUGGCCUCCUUUCACAUGAGUUGAGAGCCAUUAAAAGUUUGGUGAGGAAACCAUAAAGAUAAAUAAGCAUGUGCCGAUAUUGUGGACGUCAUAUUUCUAUUAUGUCUUUCACAGUCACAGUCAGUUUGUUUCUAUACCACAUUUGCGAUAGAUACAUUUGUGCUCAAAGUAGACUUUCUGGCAGUCACCUCCCUUUGCCAGAAAAGUUUGUUAGUAAUCGAUCCUGAAAGCCGUCUCCAGGAUGGUGGCAAGAAGUGGAGAGAUGAAAGCAACAGAAUGAGAUGGUUGUCAUAUACUCUUAUUUAAAAAGGCUAAAAACUGGCCAGCACAAACAGUGAGAGGCAAAGGGGCAUCGCUAGUUUGUCUUGGGAUCCCUUUGGAAAGAAGGGCAGGAUAUAAAUUUAUUAAUAAAAAUAA
Rhineura floridana is the source of this 7208-nucleotide long non-coding RNA. RefSeq lists it as uncharacterized. The transcript is spliced from 3 exons. The record is from RefSeq and is a predicted model, not a curated record. NCBI's taxonomy places the organism in Eukaryota, Metazoa, Chordata, Lepidosauria, Squamata, Rhineuridae.